This is a long non-coding RNA of Oncorhynchus keta (chum salmon), 352 nucleotides long. RefSeq lists it as uncharacterized. The transcript has 3 exons. The record is from RefSeq and is a predicted model, not a curated record. NCBI's taxonomy places the organism in Eukaryota, Metazoa, Chordata, Actinopteri, Salmoniformes, Salmonidae.
UAAAGAGGUAUGUGACUGUAGGUGGAGGUAUAGAGGUAUGUGACUGUAGGUGGAGGUAUAGAGGUAUGGGACUGUAGGUGGAGGUAUGGGACUGUAGGUGGAGGUAAAGAGGUAUGUGACUGUAGGUGGAGGUAAAGAGGUAUGUGACUGUAGGUGGAGGUAUAGAGGUAUGGGACUGUAGGUGGAGGUAAAGAGGUAUGGGACUGUAGGUGGAGGUAUAGAGGUAUGGGACUGUAGGUGGAGGUAUAGAGGUAUGGGACUGUAGGUGGAGGUAUGUGACUGUAGGUGGAGGUAAAGAGGUAUGUGACUGUAGGUGGAGGUAUAGAGGUAUGGGACUGUAGGUGGAGGUAAA